UCCACGACCUCCUUUCUUCUCGAGCUCGGAUUUUCGGGUCUCACCUUCUAUUCCAUUCUAGCAAAGCACGCUAACUCAAUUAAGAAAAAAUCACGUUCUUUAACCACCAACAAAAAAAAGGCAAAAAAGAGAUUUUCUUUUGAGUAGAGUUGGGUCUGAGUCAAAAGCUCAUCCAGUUUAGUAAACUGGGUAUCAUUCAGAUCAGGAGCUUCACCGGAUGCAGGCAGUGAAAAGUAAUAUAUCCAUUUACAUAGCAAAAUAAAUAGAAGAAACGCCGCGAAACUCUUAACAAUCUAGAACACGUGAAACCUGGAACAAACCUCUUCACUGAGAACGGAAGUCAGAUUGGCAGAAACAUCUUCCUCUGUUUCCCGUCGCUGGCCAUUACAGAAGCCAUAAGAAUCGAAAAUGAAAAUCGAAAAGAACUCCAGCCCCGAUGAAGGGUUCCAGUGUUUAACUUAAGGUAUAAAUCGAAAAUGAACCAUUAAUGAUGAACACAUCAAAGAUUGCAAGAUGAAGAGGUAGAGAAAGAUUCACUGCUCCAUGGAAACUGAAAGGGUUACUUUCCAAUUCUCAGAGGAGACUGAAGCAAUUG
RNAcentral lists this long non-coding RNA (595 nucleotides) under Brassica napus (rape). RNAcentral describes it as "long non-coding RNA (BNAP_LNC019622)". Lineage: Eukaryota; Viridiplantae; Streptophyta; Magnoliopsida; Brassicales; Brassicaceae. The record is from RNAcentral.